GCGGGUGUGGUGGAAUUGGUAGACGCGCCGGACUCAAAAUCCGGUUCCGCAAGGAGUGUCGGUUCGAUCCCGACCACCCGCA
This 82-nucleotide transfer RNA is filed under the name Frigidibacter mobilis. RNAcentral describes it as "Defluviimonas alba tRNA-Leu". It matches the Rfam family "tRNA". From Rfam's summary of the family: Transfer RNA (tRNA) molecules are approximately 80 nucleotides in length. Their secondary structure includes four short double-helical elements and three loops (D, anti-codon, and T loops). RNAcentral also lists the same sequence under 1 other name. The record is from RNAcentral. Lineage: Bacteria; Pseudomonadati; Pseudomonadota; Alphaproteobacteria; Rhodobacterales; Paracoccaceae.